RNAcentral lists this ribosomal RNA (474 nucleotides) under Streptococcus mitis. Its description in RNAcentral is "bacterial SSU rRNA". It matches the Rfam family "Bacterial small subunit ribosomal RNA", at positions 28 to 487 of the family's 1533-position model. The record is from RNAcentral. Lineage: Bacteria; Bacillati; Bacillota; Bacilli; Lactobacillales; Streptococcaceae.
GACGAACGCUGGCGGCGUGCCUAAUACAUGCAAGUAGAACGCUGAAGGAGGAGCUUGCUUCUCUGGAUGAGUUGCGAACGGGUGAGUAACGCGUAGGUAACCUGCCUGGUAGCGGGGGAUAACUAUUGGAAACGAUAGCUAAUACCGCAUAAGAGUAGAUGUUGCAUGACAUUUGCUUAAAAGGUGCAAUUGCAUCACUACCAGAUGGACCUGCGUUGUAUUAGCUAGUUGGUGGGGUAACGGCCCACCAAGGCGACGAUACAUAGCCGACCUGAGAGGGUGAUCGGCCACACUGGGACUGAGACACGGCCCAGACUCCUACGGGAGGCAGCAGUAGGGAAUCUUCGGCAAUGGACGGAAGUCUGACCGAGCAACGCCGCGUGAGUGAAGAAGGUUUUCGGAUCGUAAAGCUCUGUUGUAAGAGAAGAACGAGUGUGAGAGUGGAAAGUUCACACUGUGACGGUAUCUACCAGA